RNAcentral lists this ribosomal RNA (440 nucleotides) under uncultured bacterium. RNAcentral's name for it is "partial 16S ribosomal RNA". It matches the Rfam family "Bacterial small subunit ribosomal RNA", at positions 338 to 795 of the family's 1533-position model. The record is from RNAcentral.
CCUACGGGAGACAGCAGUGGGGAAUAUUGCACAAUGGGGGAAACCCUGAUGCAGCGACGCCGCGGGAGUGAAGAAGUAUCUCGGUACGUAAAGCUCUAUCAGCAGGGAAGAAAAUGACGGUACCUGACUAAGAAGCCCCGGCGAACUACGUGCCAGGAGCCGCGGUAAUACGUAGGGGGCAAGCGUUAUCCGGAUUUAUUGGGUUUAAAGGGAGCGUAGGCCGCCUUUUAAGUCAGCUGUGAAAGUCCGCGGCUCAACCGUGGAAUUGCAGUUGAAACUGGAGGCCUUGAGUGCACACAGGGAUGCCGGAAUUCAUGGUGUAGCGGUGAGAUGCUUAGAUAGCAUGAAGAACUCCGAUCGCGAAGGCAAGUGUCCGUGGUGCAACUGACGCUGAGGCUCGAAAGUGCGGGUAUCAAACAGGAUUAGAUACCCGUGUAGUC